UACCAGUAAACAGCUUUUUGACUGGAAAUAUUGCUACAAUCAAACGUUGCAUACAAACUAUCUUAUAGCGUUUUUUAAUUUAGUCGGUACAUUGAAGAAGUCAAUGUUUGAUUUCUCUCGUAUUUUUCUUAUAAGAUGAGAAAUUUCACAAUUUUUUUCAAUUUCUGGGUUAUUUUUGCAACAGAGAAAAAUAUACGACUGACAAUGCGCUGUAUAUUUCAUUAGCAAU
Non-coding RNA from Cinara cedri, 229 nucleotides. NCBI's taxonomy places the organism in Eukaryota, Metazoa, Arthropoda, Insecta, Hemiptera, Aphididae. The record is from the annotation of a GenBank genome assembly.